This is a non-coding RNA of Tachysurus fulvidraco (yellow catfish), 955 nucleotides long. The record is from the annotation of a RefSeq genome assembly. Lineage: Eukaryota; Metazoa; Chordata; Actinopteri; Siluriformes; Bagridae.
CAUGUCUUCCGAAAGCCUAAACACUGUCAUGCAAAUCAAACCCCUUCAUAAAUGAUUAGAGGUGUUCUCAGGAGAAGUGAGGAUCUGGGUUCAGGUUCAGAUCAAACCAUGUUCUCUACACUUCUACUCUUGCUGUUAACAGCUACAUCUGGUAUUAAAUGUAUUGAACUGGUUCAGCCUGCAGUCAUACUGGUUAAGCCUGGAGAAUCAUUUUCAGUCCCCUGUAAGAUCACUGGAUACUCAGCCACUAGUCAAUGUACUAACUGGAUGCGACAAUCAGGACAAAAACUGGAAUGGAUCGGCUGGUACUGCAGCUCCAAUAAUACUGGCAGCAGCGAUUCACUAAAGAACAAGAUCCGUUUCUCAGCUGAAGCUUCCACCAACACUGUGACUUUACAUGGGCAACAAUUUCAGACUGAGGACACAGCUGUGUAUUACUGUGCACGAGAGCCACAGUCGUUCAGAUUACUGCUGAGGCUGUACAAAAACCAGGGUCAUGCUGUGUUGAGCUCCCUUUAGUCUGCAUUUGGUCAUGUCCUGUGAUGAACAUUAGACAAAGACCUGACUGAAGACUGAACAUUGAAUUUUAGACCUAGGGUUAGCUUGAUUUAACAGGAAAAUAAAUAAUUAAAACUUUUGAAAUUGUACAUAUUCAAACACAGACAGUAUCAAUCCUGCACAAGUGAUACAUAACAUGUUACCUAACUCACAGUCAUUUAACCAACUUUAUUGCAGAUAAUGUGGACUUUCUAUGGUCAGAUUUUGACAUUGUUUAGUAGAAAUAAAUCUAAAAACUACAGGUUUUCCUUUACUGAAAUAUAUUUCUCUUUAGCAGGUCCCUCGAGAUCAAGAAAAGUUUUACCAUUUCAAGAUUUCAUUCUGAUUGUGGUGCAGAUAUGAAUAAAAAAAUAACAAUUUUAGAUGUUUUAUAGCAUGAACAUUGUGGAUAGAAGUG